RNAcentral lists this long non-coding RNA (288 nucleotides) under Apteryx rowi (Okarito brown kiwi). RNAcentral describes it as "lncRNA (ENSARWG00000015359.1)". The record is from RNAcentral. Lineage: Eukaryota; Metazoa; Chordata; Aves; Apterygiformes; Apterygidae.
UAGCACUAUAGGUAUGAUUUAAAUAUAGGGGAAUAUGCUCUUUCUGUCUUUCUCCGUAAACAGGACUAUCUGCAGAAUCUAUACAUAAAGUAAGUGGGGAGUUCAUGGCAAGCUUCUGCGGGGGAAGGGAGAAGAGGACCAGCACUGUGGUUAAAAGUGAUAAUUAAGCCCGGUUUGGUUGCUUGGAGAGAGCACGUCGUUUGCAUACCUUUAACCAGUUUGUUAACCUUGUGGGACUAGAGCUGCUCUACACUGUAAUUUUUUAAAAAAUAAAAGAUAAUAUUGCGG